GUGGUAUCCUGUCUGAAUAUGGGGGGACCAUCCUCCAAGGCUAAAUACUCCUGACUGACCGAUAGUGAACCAGUACCGUGAGGGAAAGGCGAAAAGAACCCCGGCGAGGGGAGUGAAAAAGAACCUGAAACCGUGUACGUACAAGCAGUGGGAGCACGCUUAGGCGUGUGACUGCGUACCUUUUGUAUAAUGGGUCAGCGACUUAUAUUCUGUAGCAAGGUUAACCGAAUAGGGGAGCCGAAGGGAAACCGAGUCUUAACUGGGCGUUAAGUUGCAGGGUAUAGACCCGAAACCCGGUGAUCUAGCCAUGGGCAGGUUGAAGGUUGGGUAACACUAACUGGAGGACCGAACCGACUAAUGUUGAAAAAUUAGCGGAUGACUUGUGGCUGGGGGUGAAAGGCCAAUCAAACCGGGAGAUAGCUGGUUCUCCCCGAAAGCUAUUUAGGUAGCGCCUCGUGAAUUCAUCUCCGGGGGUAGAGCACUGUUUCGGCAAGGGGGUCAUCCCGACUUACCAACCCGAUGCAAACUGCGAAUACCGGAGAAUGUUAUCACGGGAGACACACGGCGGGUGCUAACGUCCGUCGUGAAGAGGGAAACAACCCAGACCGCCAGCUAAGGUCCCAAAGUCAUGGUUAAGUGGGAAACGAUGUGGGAAGGCCCAGACAGCCAGGAUGUUGGCUUAGAAGCAGCCAUCAUUUAAAGAAAGCGUAAUAGCUCACUGGUCGAGUCGGCCUGCGCGGAAGAUGUAACGGGGCUAAACCAUGCACCGAAGCUGCGGCAGCGACACUAUGUGUUGUUGGGUAGGGGAGCGUUCUGUAAGCCUGUGAAGGUGUACUGUGAGGUAUGCUGGAGGUAUCAGAAGUGCGAAUGCUGACAUAAGUAACGAUAAAGCGGGUGAAAAGCCCGCUCGCCGGAAGACCAAGGGUUCCUGUCCAACGU
Molecule: ribosomal RNA, 939 nt
Filed under: Escherichia coli
Lineage: Bacteria; Pseudomonadati; Pseudomonadota; Gammaproteobacteria; Enterobacterales; Enterobacteriaceae
Description: partial 23S ribosomal RNA
Rfam family: Bacterial large subunit ribosomal RNA
Source: RNAcentral